CAGUCGCCGCGGGAAUACGUAGGUGGCAAGCGUUGUCCGGAAUUAUUGGGCGUAAAGCGCGCGCAGGUGGCUAAUAAGUCUGAUGUGAAAGCCCACGGCUCAACCGUGGAGGGUCAUUGGAAACUGUUAAACUUGAGUGCAGGAGAGAAAAGUGGAAUUCCUAGUGUAGCGGUGAAAUGCGUAGAGAUUAGGAGGAACACCAGUGGCGAAGGCGGCUUUUUGGCCUGUAACUGACACUGAGGCGCGAAAGCGUGGGGAGCAAACAGGAUUAGAUACCCCCGUAGUCCCUGUCUCUUAUACA
This 301-nucleotide ribosomal RNA is filed under the name uncultured bacterium. Its description in RNAcentral is "partial 16S ribosomal RNA". It matches the Rfam family "Bacterial small subunit ribosomal RNA", at positions 509 to 808 of the family's 1533-position model. The record is from RNAcentral.